ACUUGUCUGUUCCCCCAGGCUAAAUUUGCUCCCUGAUGAUACUCUCAAACCAUCCAGGAGCAGAUUGGAAAUCUUCCCUUGCUUUCAGGAACCAAGGGUCAGUAGGUUCCUUCUACUCCCUGGUGCCAAGCUGCUGUAGUCACACAUCGAAGCAAUAAAGCUCAUUUGCAGGAAAAAAGUUACACAGAAUAUAAACACCACUUCUGGAAAAGUAAAUAUGGAUUAGAAAACCACUGAUGUCUGGGGACAAGUCAGCACCUCCUAUGCAGAGUUUGACAAAGAAAUU
Non-coding RNA from Python bivittatus (Burmese python), 286 nucleotides. The record is from RefSeq and is a predicted model, not a curated record. NCBI's taxonomy places the organism in Eukaryota, Metazoa, Chordata, Lepidosauria, Squamata, Pythonidae.